AAAUCCGAGAGAGAAGGGGAAAAAAACCAGCCUAGGACACUGAUAUCAGUCUGUCUUGUUUCACCUGCUCAUAUGGUGCCAAUUGCAGAGGCCUUGCAGCAGGCACUUCAGACCCAAGGUAUUCGUGUGCAAUGGCUGUGACUGACACCUCAGCUCUGUGGACCACGUGGAGAAGACCUGCACAUGACCCUGCAAAUCAAGAUGGCAGCAGUGGGCUGUGUGCAGAAAUGCUGCCCCCAGCACUGUGAUCAAGAGCCUCAGCCCAGCU
This is a long non-coding RNA of Bos taurus (domestic cattle), 268 nucleotides long. Lineage: Eukaryota; Metazoa; Chordata; Mammalia; Artiodactyla; Bovidae. The record is from Ensembl.